Molecule: transfer RNA, 76 nt
Filed under: Candidatus Taylorbacteria bacterium RIFCSPLOWO2_01_FULL_43_83
Lineage: Bacteria; Candidatus Tayloriibacteriota
Description: tRNA-Ala
Rfam family: tRNA
About the family: Transfer RNA (tRNA) molecules are approximately 80 nucleotides in length. Their secondary structure includes four short double-helical elements and three loops (D, anti-codon, and T loops).
Source: RNAcentral
GGGCUGUUAGUUCAGUUAGUAGAACACUCGAUUCGCAUUCGAGAGGUCACCGGUGCAAUUCCGGUACAGUCCACAA